RNAcentral lists this Y RNA (113 nucleotides) under Castor canadensis (American beaver). Its description in RNAcentral is "Y RNA (ENSCCNG00000012273.1)". It matches the Rfam family "Y RNA". Rfam says of the family: Y RNAs are components of the Ro ribonucleoprotein particle (Ro RNP), in association with Ro60 and La proteins. The Y RNAs and Ro60 and La proteins are well conserved, but the function of the Ro RNP is not known. In humans the RNA component can be one of four small RNAs -- hY1, hY3, hY4 and hY5. Lineage: Eukaryota; Metazoa; Chordata; Mammalia; Rodentia; Castoridae. The record is from Rfam by way of RNAcentral.
GGCUGUCCGAAGGUAGUGAGUUGUCUCAAUUGAUUAUUCACAGUCAGUUACAGAUUGAACUCCUUGUUCUACACUUUUCCCUCCUUCUCACUACUAUACUUGUCUAGUCUUAA